This 399-nucleotide unclassified non-coding RNA is filed under the name uncultured fungus. RNAcentral describes it as "partial contains ITS1, 5.8S rRNA and ITS2". Lineage: Eukaryota; Fungi. The record is from RNAcentral.
ACGCAUAUUGCGCUUUCUGGUAUUCCGGAGAGCAUGCCUGUUUCAGAACCGUUUUACCCUCACAAACCCCACUCUUUUAACUUGUUUAAAGGCGUGGGCAAGUGGAUAUGAGAGUUUUCCGUGCGCUAAUUGAAAGAUAAGCCGCGGUCGCUUGAAAGUAAAUGUCGGAUUGCUCUUUUUAAAGCUAGCCCUGCGACAUAAAAGACGUGAUGAUGUGGGUAAACCACUUUUAAAGCGUCGAAAGAAGGGAAAUGAGGAUUUAAAGGCUUAGCGAGUCCUGUAAUCGCACAUGGGUAAUUAUUACCUGAAUGCGUGGAUUUGACAGGCGUCCUUUUUUUUAAAAGGGCGAAACCCUGAACUUUUGGUCUGUAAUCAAGCAAGAGAACCCGCUGAACUUAA